GUUCAACAUUGUUGAAAAGUUGUUUGAAAAGACUUAUUCAUUACCAUGAGAACAGUAUGUGGGAAACUGCCCCCAUGACUCAAUGAUUUCCCACUGGCACCCUCCCACAACACGUGGGAAUUAUGGAAGCUGCAAUUCAAGAUGAGAUUUGGGUGGAGACACAGCCAAACCAUAUCAUUGACUGACUUAAAUUCAACAGAACUGUGCUUUGGAGGACAUCGUUGCGCUGCUGACUUCUAACACUGAGGUGAUCCUGCCUUAUCCUGGAGAAAGAAAUGUUAUGCAAGAGGCCAAGAAGAAGCUAAACAAACAAGCCAUGAUGGAUUCCCAUCUCAGCUUAUUACCAUUGGGACAUGUCCUUUUUGUCCAAUCACAUUUCUACAUGGCAGUACAGUCUUCAUCAAACCUAAGCAUUAAAAAAAAAGUUUUCUCUGGGUCUUUGGGUCUUUUGUUUCGGAAGGCUCCUGUAUUACAUAAAACUUUGUUAAAUAAAUUUGUUAUACUUUUUUCUUGUGAAUCUGUCUUUCAUCAUAGGGGUGUUAGCUGGGGACCUUGCAAUGAGUGAGGACAGGCAUUAC
RNAcentral lists this long non-coding RNA (578 nucleotides) under Homo sapiens (human). RNAcentral's name for it is "HSALNT0373317". The record is from RNAcentral. Lineage: Eukaryota; Metazoa; Chordata; Mammalia; Primates; Hominidae.